GGGCUCGAGGGAGAUGGCGCCGCGCUCCCCGAUGAACAGAGAAAGCGACAGGACGCCCUUGCAUACAUUAAGAUAUGUAUAUAUGGAAAUGUUACCGGGAGUCCCGGUUAUCCCAAAAAGGAUUGUUUCCUGUUGUGUGGUGAGGCCAAUGCACGAAACCGAAAGGGAGUGUGUCAAGCAGUGCAGGCUUUAUUCAAUGGCUCUGGAAUUGGAAGAUCUGAAAUCAACUUAGCUGGUGAGAGCUGGGAAGUUACAGAGGUAGGGUGUCUUUAAUGAAGGGGCUGGGCAUUAAGAGCACGGGGGGGAAUAUUCAUGCUUUUCUUGGGAAAGAACGGAGAUUUUUCCCGGAAUCAAGGAACCCCUUUUUUUCUGUCCCUUCUUGGUCUCUUCCAGUCGUUGUCAUGGCGACUGUCAAUUGUCACGGCGCUGGUGGGAGUGUUGUUUAGCAUGAGAACUGGAUGAUAAUAAAGCCAGAGGCUCGUCAGAGGCGCCAUCUUGGAUUUCGCCAGCUUCAGCUGGUUUCGUCCCAAGAAGGAACUUCAAAACACAGGCAUUGUUUUUCCUGAAAAUAAGCAGAGUUAAAGCUGAGUAGGAAUUUAGCUCUGUCCCAUAUGCUAUCGCGUUGGGCAGCAAAAGCAGGGUGGGGUCCAGCGAAAUCAGCAGGCACUGCAAUGAGUAACAUACCCAGCUACGUUUAUGCAGCAUUUUUACGAAAAUGAAACCAUACUACCUGUAAAGGAAGAUAUGCUAACAAACAACAAAACUGGCAGGAACCAAGAUUCCUACUGACACUACCCUUAGUU
This 803-nucleotide long non-coding RNA is filed under the name Pan troglodytes (chimpanzee). RNAcentral's name for it is "lincRNA". The record is from RNAcentral. Lineage: Eukaryota; Metazoa; Chordata; Mammalia; Primates; Hominidae.